UACGGAGGAUGCGAGCGUUAUCCGGAUUUAUUGGGUUUAAAGGGUGCGUAGGCGGACGCUUAAGUCAGCGGUAAAAUUGCGGGGCUCAACCUCGUCGAGCCGUUGAAACUGGGUGUCUUGAGUGGGCGAGAAGUACGCAGAAUGCGUGGUGUAGCGGUGAAAUGCAUAGAUAUCACGCAGAACUCCGAUUGCGAAGGCAGCGUACCGGCGCCCAACUGACGCUGAAGCACGAAGGCGUGGGUAUCGAACAGG
Molecule: ribosomal RNA, 252 nt
Filed under: uncultured bacterium
Lineage: Bacteria
Description: partial 16S ribosomal RNA
Rfam family: Bacterial small subunit ribosomal RNA
Source: RNAcentral